This 200-nucleotide ribosomal RNA is filed under the name uncultured bacterium. RNAcentral's name for it is "partial 16S ribosomal RNA". It matches the Rfam family "Bacterial small subunit ribosomal RNA", at positions 29 to 224 of the family's 1533-position model. The record is from RNAcentral.
AGUGAACGCUGGCGGCAGGCCUAACACAUGCAAGUCGAACGGCAGCACAGAGGAGCUUGCUCCUUGGGUGGCGAGUGGCGGACGGGUGAGGAAUACAUCGGAAUCUGCCUUAUCGUGGGGGAUAACGUAGGGAAACUUACGCUAAUACCGCAUACGACCUACGGGUGAAAGCGGAGGACCGCAAGGCUUCGCGCGAUAAG